This 400-nucleotide ribosomal RNA is filed under the name phytoplankton environmental sample. RNAcentral's name for it is "partial small subunit ribosomal RNA". It matches the Rfam family "Eukaryotic small subunit ribosomal RNA", at positions 587 to 981 of the family's 1831-position model. The record is from RNAcentral.
AGCUCCAAUAGCGUAUAUUAAAGUUGUUGCAGUUAAAAAGCUCGUAGUUGGAUUUCUGCCUCGCUGCGCCUGGCCCGCCCGCGUUAGCGGUGUGAGUGCCGGUUCGCGCGGUAGGCAUCCUUCCGGAGACCGGGCCUGCCCUUCACUGGGUGGGGUCCGCGACCCGGAUCGUUUACUUUGAAAAAAUUAGAGUGUUUAAAGCAGGCCGUUGCUCUGAAUACAUUAGCAUGGAAUAAUGACAUAGGACUUUGGUUCUAUUUUGUUGGUUUCUAGGACUGAAGUAAUGAUUGAUAGGGAUAGUUGGGGGUGCUAGUAUUGAGCGGCCAGAGGUGAAAUUCUUGGAUUCGCUCAAGACUAACUUAUGCGAAAGCAUUCACCAAGGAUGUCUUCUUUAAUCAAG